AGACCCGAAACCCGGUGAUCUAGCCAUGGGCAGGUUGAAGGUUGGGUAACACUAACUGGAGGACCGAACCGACUAAUGUUGAAAAAUUAGCGGAUGACCUGUGGCUGGGGGUGAAAGGCCAAUCAAACCGGGAGAUAGCUGGUUCUCCCCGAAAGCUAUUUAGGUAGCGCCUCGUGAAUUCAUCUCCGGGGGUAGAGCACUGUUUCGGCUAGGGGGCCAUCCCGGCUUACCAACCCGAUGCAAACUGCGAAUACCGGAGAAUGUUAUCACGGGAGACACACGGCGGGUGCUAACGUCCGUCGUGAAGAGGGAAACAACCCAGACCGCCAGCUAAGGUCCCAAAGUCAUGGUUAAGUGGGAAACGAUGUGGGAAGGCCCAGACAGCCAGGAUGUUGGCUUAGAAGCAGCCAUCAUUUAAAGAAAGCGUAAUAGCUCACUGGUCGAGUCGGCCUGCGCGGAAGAUGUAACGGGGCUAAACCAUGCACCGAAGCUGCGGCAGCGACGCUUAUGCGUUGU
This 516-nucleotide ribosomal RNA is filed under the name Salmonella enterica. RNAcentral describes it as "partial 23S ribosomal RNA". It matches the Rfam family "Bacterial large subunit ribosomal RNA", at positions 711 to 1224 of the family's 2925-position model. The record is from RNAcentral. Lineage: Bacteria; Pseudomonadati; Pseudomonadota; Gammaproteobacteria; Enterobacterales; Enterobacteriaceae. RNAcentral also lists the same sequence under 2 other names.